Molecule: ribosomal RNA, 320 nt
Filed under: uncultured eukaryote
Lineage: Eukaryota
Description: partial 18S ribosomal RNA
Rfam family: Eukaryotic small subunit ribosomal RNA
Source: RNAcentral
CCCCUAGAUGUUCUGGGCCGCACGCGCGCUACACUGAACAGUUCAACAAGUCUUAACCUUGGCCGAUAGGUCUGGGCAAUCUUUGAACGCUGUUCGUGAUUGGGAUAGACCUUUGCAAUUAUGGGUCUUCAACGAGGAAUUCCUAGUAAACGCAAGUCAUCAGCUUGCAUUGAUUACGUCCCUGCCCUUUGUACACACCGCCCGUCGCACCUACCGAUUGAAUGGUCCGGUGAAAUCUCGGGACGGCGGCUUGGUCGCUUGCGUCCGACUGCUGAAACUUGAUUAAACCAUAUCAUUUAGAGGAAGGUGAAGUCGUANCA